UGCCCCUCACAGUCCUCAAUCUUCUGAUGAGCUUGCAGAAAUUUGUUGAUUCGGUCAUUAUCCCUCAGGCUGCACUACUACAGAAUAAGCCCUUUGGUCACUUGCCCAAAAUAAACAAUAAUCUAGGCCCAAUCAGCGUUCGGAACAAAAACAUCUUUAGUCCCGGUUGGUGAGACCAACCGGGACUAAAAGUCCUCUGCCCAACGGCUAUGGUGUCAGAGAUCGGCAGAAGAGACCUUUAGUCCCGAUUGGUCUCCCCAACCGGGACUAGCCUUUGGUCCCGGUUGGUAACACCAACCAGGAUUAAAAGAUGUUGUCCCGGUCCGUCUCACCGGUCGGGACUAAUGUUGGACUUUAGUCCUGGUUGUUAAUUAAAUGGAACCGGGACUAAAUGUCCUUCCCCAUAUUUGAACUCUUCUUCUUCCCCUGGCCGAGCCCAUCGAUCUUCACUCUUUUGCUGUGUUCUUAAUUUGGAGUUGCUUGUUCUUGCUCUCAUCUCUGGCUAUUGAUUCAUUUCAUCAUUUCUACGCAUCAUCGACUUGUUAAAAGGUCACUAGCUUCAUCUUCUCAACAUUUAGUAGCGACAUAUGCCAUUUCCUAGUGUUAUGUAUGUUGUUUUUUAUUUUAUGGUUUUUAAAGAGGUUACUAGCUUCAUCGUCUUCUCAACAUCGAUGUGUUUUUUUAGAGAAAUAGUGAUACUAUGUUUUUUUUUAUUUUAAUUAGUUUAGAAAAAAAUUAAAAACGUAUAAUACUCUAAUUUGUAAUUUUUGACCGAUUUAAUUAGUUAAUUAUAACUAGUAUGUAUACCACAUUUCAUGAUUAUUUAGAAAAAUAUAGAAUUUUUGUGCUUUUUUAAUUUUGCUUGUUUAGAGAAAUUAGAAAUAGAGAAUUUUAGGUUUUUUGUUAGUUUAAUUUCUCUAUUAAAAAUUAAAAACUUAUAAUACUUUAAUUUACAAUUUAUGACAAGGUUAAUUAGUUAAUUAUAACUAGUAUGCAUGCCACAUUUCAUGAUUAGUUAGAAAAAUAGAGAACUUUUAUGUCUUUUUAAUUUUGCUGGUUUAGAAAAAUUAGAAAUAGAGAAUUUUAGGUUAUUUGUUACUUUAAUUUCUGUAUAAAAAAUUAGAAACUUAUAAUACUUUGCGUUGCAAUGCAGACAAUGACACAUCAUUGGAUGUACAAUGUCGAUCGCCGCUCCAAAUAAUUCAUUGAUGGUGUGCAUAGAGUGGCCGAGGAAAACAAGCGGGAUGGAUUCAUAUGUUGCCCAUGUGCCUUGUGUCAGAAUUUGAAGGAAUAUUCUAGCUCUAGAAAUAUUCACUAACAUUUGUUGAAGUCGGGUUUUAUGCCAAACUAUAUUUGUUGGACCAAGCAUGGAGAAAACGAUAUAAUGAUGGAAGAAGAUGAAGAAGAACAGUUGGAGCCUGACGACAUUAUUGCUCAAUACGACAUUAUUGCUCAAUACGGUGACUUCGGUGAUACAGCAAUGGGAGAAGCUGAAGAUGAGGCAGGUGCAGAAGGCGCACCUGUUGAAGAUGAUGCUCUUGGUGAUGUCAUUCGUGAUGCACAGAAAGAUUGCGAAAGUGAAAAAGAGAAGACAAAGUUUGACCACAUGUUAGAAGAUCACAAGAAAUUACUAUACCCAUCUGCCCAGGAUGGGCAAAAAAAAUAGGUACAACACUGGAGUUGUUAAAAUAGAAGGCACAUAAUGGUGUAUCCGAUAAGGCAUUUGGUAAUUUCUGAAGAUCCAAAAAAAGAUGCUGCCAAAGCCUAAUGAACUGCCCACUACUACAUACGAAGCAAAACAGAUCGUCUGUCCUUUGGGAUUAAAAAUCAAGAAGAUACAUGCAUCUUCUAACGACUGCAUCCUAUACAGUGGCAAGGACUACGAGAAUUUAGAUGAAUGCCCCGUAUGUAAAGCAUCACGGUAUAAGAUCAGGCGAGAUGACCCUAGCGA
Molecule: long non-coding RNA, 1951 nt
Filed under: Sorghum bicolor (sorghum)
Lineage: Eukaryota; Viridiplantae; Streptophyta; Magnoliopsida; Poales; Poaceae
Description: long non-coding RNA (SBIC_LNC015701)
Source: RNAcentral